GACGAACGCUGGCGGCGUGCUUAACACAUGCAAGUCGAACGGAAAGGCCCUGCUUUUGUGGGGUGCUCGAGUGGCGAACGGGUGAGUAACACGUGAGUAACCUGCCCUUGACUUUGGGAUAACUUCAGGAAACUGGGGCUAAUACCGGAUAGGAGCUCCUGCUGCAUGGUGGGGGUUGGAAAGUUUCGGCGGUUGGGGAUGGACUGGCGGCUUAUCAGCUUGUUGGGGGGGUAGGGGCUUACCAAGGCUUUGACGGGUAGCCCGCCUGGGAGGGUGACCGGCCACAAUGCGACUGCGAUACGGCCCAGACUGCUACGUGAGGCAGCAGUGGGGAAUAUUGCACAAUGGGCCGAAGUCUGAUGUAGCAACGCCGGGUGCGGGAUGCCGGCCUUCGGGUUGUAAACCGCUGUCGACGGUGAUGAAGCGUGCGUGACGGUAACGGGUAAAGAAGCACCGGCUAACUACGUG
This 468-nucleotide ribosomal RNA is filed under the name uncultured bacterium. Its description in RNAcentral is "partial 16S ribosomal RNA". It matches the Rfam family "Bacterial small subunit ribosomal RNA", at positions 28 to 507 of the family's 1533-position model. The record is from RNAcentral.